Molecule: non-coding RNA, 140 nt
Organism: Opisthocomus hoazin
Lineage: Eukaryota; Metazoa; Chordata; Aves; Opisthocomiformes; Opisthocomidae
Source: Rfam
AUGUUCACACAGCGGUAGUGUCUUCACUAGCAAGGUCAAUCCAAGGCAAGGUAUUUGCUCACUGAAAACUGUUCCAAUGUCUUUCCCUCAUGAGUAGAAAUACAGUCAGCACUGGCAAUUUUUGACAACCUCUAAGGAGA